This 398-nucleotide ribosomal RNA is filed under the name uncultured bacterium. RNAcentral's name for it is "partial 16S ribosomal RNA". It matches the Rfam family "Bacterial small subunit ribosomal RNA", at positions 523 to 918 of the family's 1533-position model. The record is from RNAcentral.
AUACGUAGGGGGCGAGCGUUGUCCGGAAUUACUGGGCGUAAAGAGCUCGUAGGUGGUUUGUCGCGUCGUCUGUGAAAUUCCGGGGCUUAACUCCGGGCGUGCAGGCGAUACGGGCAUAACUUGAGUACUGUAGGGGAGACUGGAAUUCCUGGUGUAGCGGUGAAAUGCGCAGAUAUUAGGAAGAACACCGGUGGCGAAGGCGGCUAUCUGGACAGUAACUGACGCUGAGGAGCGAAAGCAUGGGUAGCGAACAGGAUUAGAUACCCUGGUAGUCCAUGCCGUAAACGGUGGGCGCUAGGUGUAGGGGUCUUCCACGACUUCUGUGCCGUAGCUAACGCAUUAAGCGCCCCGCCUGGGGAGUACGGCCGCAAGGCUAAAACUCAAAGGAAUUGACGGGG